GAGAGGGAGCAUGAGAAACGGCUACCACAUCUAAGGAAGGCAGCAGGCGCGUAAGUUACCCAAUCCUGACUCAGGGAGGUAGUGACAAGAAAUAGCAAACCGGGAACCUCAUGGUUUCACGGUAUUGCAAUGAGAACAAUUUAAAACCCUUAGCGAGAAUCAAGUGGAGGACAAGUCUGGUGCCAGCACCCGCGGUAAUUCCAGCUCCACUAGCGUAUAUUAAAGUUGUUGCAGUUAAAAAGCUCGUAGUUGAACCUCUGUCUGGGGCUAGUUUUGGCUUUGGUCAGGCUAGUUCUAGGCAUCCGCCUACAAGACUUAGAGGGCAUUCAGUUGUUCACUAGGAGGAGUAGGCAUUUUACUUUGAAAAAAUUAGAGUGUUUAAGGCAGGCAAUCGCCCGCAUAUAUUAGCAUGGAAUAAUAGAAUAGGACACUUUUCCAUUUCGUUGGUUAUUGGAAUCGUGUAAUGAUUAAUAGGGACAGUUGUGGGCAUUUGUAUUUAAUUGUCAGAGGUGAAAUUCUUGGAUUUAUUAAAGACAAACUAACGCGAAAGCAUUUGCCAAGGAUGUUUUCAUUAAUCAAGAACGAAAGUUAGGGGAUCAAAGACGAUCAGAUACCGUCCUAGUCUUAACUAUAAACUAUUCCGACUCAAUGUUUGACUGGCUUAUAUAACCAGUUGAGCGUUGUAUGAGAAAUCAAAGUCUUUAGGUUCUGGGGGGAGUAUGGUUGCAAAGCUGAAACUUAAAGGAAUUGACGGAAGAGCACAACCAGGAGUGGAUUCUGCGGCUUAAUUUGACUCAACACGGGGAAACUUACCAGGUUAAAACAAUAGUGGGAUUGACAGUUUGAGAGCGCUUUCUUGAUAGGUUGGGUGGUGGUGCAUGGCCGUUCUUAGUUGGUGGAGUGAUUUGUCUGCUUAAUUGCGUUAGCGAACGAGACCUUAACCUGCUUACUAGACUGGCGAUCAUCAAUCGUUAGCUCUUCUUAGAGGGACUUUGGUUGUUUUAACUCCAAGGAAGUUUGAGGCAAUAACAGGUCUGUGAUGCCCUUAGAUAUCCUGGGCCGCACGCGUCAUACAAUGACUAGUUCAGAAAGUUUUCUCCUGACCCGAAAGGGGAUGGGUAAUCUUGAUAAUACUAGUCGUGUUAGGGAUCGAUCUUUGCAAUUAUAGAUCUUGAACGAGGAAUUCCUAGUAAGUGCGGUUCAUCAGACCGUACUGAUUACGUCCCUGCUCUUUGUACACACCGCCCGUCGCUUCUACCGAGUGGGUGGUCCGGUGAGAUAAUUGAACUUCGCAGGUAACUGAGAGGAAAGAGU
Molecule: ribosomal RNA, 1314 nt
Filed under: metagenome
Description: SSU rRNA
Rfam family: Eukaryotic small subunit ribosomal RNA
Source: RNAcentral